AAUACUUCUACUACUACUAUCACUACUUUACUUACCCAAUUUUGUCAACAACUAUAUCCCAGUAUGGGAUUUCAUCCAUUCAUGUUUCGUGCUACUAGUAAGUGUUCGUUACGCAAUCAAAAAUGGGAUACUUGUUGGGAACAGGAAUGUAUUGAUGU
RNAcentral lists this non-coding RNA (158 nucleotides) under Fragilariopsis kerguelensis. The record is from RNAcentral. Lineage: Eukaryota; Bacillariophyta; Bacillariophyceae; Bacillariales; Bacillariaceae.